AGAGACAGCAGCAGCCGCGGUAAUACGAAGGGUGCAAGCGUUAAUCGGAAUUACUGGGCGUAAAGCGUGCGUAGGCGGUGAGUUAAGUCUGCUGUGAAAUCCCCGGGCUCAACCUGGGAAUGGCAGUGGAUACUGGCUCGCUAGAGUGUGUCAGAGGAUGGUGGAAUUCCCGGUGUAGCGGUGAAAUGCGUAGAGAUCGGGAGGAACAUCAGUGGCGAAGGCGGCCAUCUGGGCCAAUACUGACGCUCAUGCACGAAAGCGUGGGGAGCAAACAGGAUUAGAUACCCCCGUAGUCCCUGUCUCUUAUAC
This 309-nucleotide ribosomal RNA is filed under the name uncultured bacterium. RNAcentral's name for it is "partial 16S ribosomal RNA". It matches the Rfam family "Bacterial small subunit ribosomal RNA", at positions 504 to 807 of the family's 1533-position model. The record is from RNAcentral.